RNA transcript from Tarenaya hassleriana, 1587 nucleotides. It is a transcript of the gene named transcription factor Pur-alpha 1, with no coding region annotated. The transcript has 6 exons. NCBI's taxonomy places the organism in Eukaryota, Viridiplantae, Streptophyta, Magnoliopsida, Brassicales, Cleomaceae. The record is from RefSeq and is a predicted model, not a curated record.
UUGGAGAGUAAAAAACGCCAAUUUGGUAACAGAGAGAGAGAGAGAGGGGUUAGCUCUGCUCCAACUGGGGUAGGGACUUCGUGUGACUUGGUCGAUAAUUACCACUAUCUUCUUCUUCUUCGUCUUUCUCCGCAAACCCUAGUUUCCCCGAUCGAAGCUCUUCCCCUUCCUCAUUUCUCAAUUCGCUCCUGUUACCUCUCAGAUCAACCGCCUAUUCAUCUCUAGCUCUUGUAUUGAUCGAUCGGCGGAUCCAUAUGGAGGGGAAUUCCGGCGGAGGUGGAGGAGGAGGAGCCAGCGGCGGAGCGGCGGCGGCGGUGGGUGGCGGAGGAGGUAACGAUGUGGAACUGGUGAGCAAGACGCUGCAGGUGGAGCACAAGCUUUUUUAUUUCGAUCUCAAGGAAAAUCCUCGUGGUCGGUACCUGAAGAUAUCGGAGAAGACGUCGGCGACGAGGUCAACUAUCAUUGUCCCUUCCUCGGGAAUCUCCUGGUUCCUUGAUCUCUUCAAUUACUACGUCAACUCCGACGAACACGAGCUCUUCAGCAAGGAAUUGCAGCUCGAUUCCAAGGUCUUUUACUUCGACAUCGGCGAGAACCGUAGGGGACGCUUCUUAAAGGUUUCAGAAGCAUCUGUUAGUAGAAAUCGUAGCACUAUUAUUGUUCCUGCAGGAACCUCCCGUGAUGAAGGUUGGGCAGCUUUCAAGAACAUCUUGGCUGAGAUCAAUGAGGCAUCAAGGCUUUUCAUGAUGCCCAAUCAGCAGCCUUCUGAUGCACAGGAACAUCUAGUUGGACUUUCGGAUGAUGUAGGAGUUGGCUUCAUAUCCGGCCACGGUAGCCAGCCACAAUCAUCAUCUGAACUGACUGUAGAACGAUCAGCUGAUCUCCCAGGCCAGGAUGAAAUUGGAAUGAUGGGUGUCUCGAAGGUGAUCAGAGCCGAUCAGAAGCGAUUCUUCUUUGAUCUCGGGAGCAACAACAGGGGCCAUUUUCUCAGGAUUUCUGAGGUGGCAGGUUCUGAUAGGUCCUCCAUCAUCCUCCCCUUAUCAGGCCUUAGGCAGUUUCAUGAGGUUAUUGGUCACUUCGUGGAGAUUACCAAAGACAGAAUCGAAGGGCUGACUGGUGCAAAUGUCAGGACAGUGGAUUCGCCUCAGAGAUGAGUAUCCAUAUUAAGGUGACCAGUAAUGGGAUGAUGGGAAUCCCAUCCUCUAACAUUGGAGUUUGAAGAUUCAAACAGCUGUCUGAUCAUGGUGUGCAAUUGUGUCAAGUAAUUUAUCGCCUCUUCCUGUUCAAAGUUUCGAAAUAAUCCAGCCGAUUGAUCUGUCUGAAUAGCAGAUAAAUCAUGGAGAUGCUUGCCAAAUUCUAGCCUCCAACUGGGAAUAAUGCUUAAAUCAUUUAAAACUUUUUCGGCCUCAAUCUGUCCAAGCUAUUUCCUUUACUUCAGAUCCAGAUUCGAUGCUUUGGUGAUUCUGUUGACAGGUUUAUGCAUUUCGAUCGUAAAAAGGAAUUGUUUUGCUGUGGAUUUUGAGAUGAUGGUUCUUUACAAUUGUAUAUAUGACCCUCUUGUGAGAAACGAUGAUUAUUGUUUUUCCUUUC